GGGACCGUAGUGUAACUUGGCCAGCAUACAAGCUUUGGGAGCUUGCAGUCGGGGUUCAAAUCCCCGCGGUCCCA
RNAcentral lists this transfer RNA (74 nucleotides) under archaeon. Its description in RNAcentral is "tRNA-Pro". It matches the Rfam family "tRNA". From Rfam's summary of the family: Transfer RNA (tRNA) molecules are approximately 80 nucleotides in length. The record is from RNAcentral.